Molecule: ribosomal RNA, 1522 nt
Filed under: metagenome
Description: bacterial SSU rRNA
Rfam family: Bacterial small subunit ribosomal RNA
Source: RNAcentral
AGAGUUUGAUCAUGGCUCAGAUUGAACGCUGGCGGCGGGCCUAACACAUGCAAGUCGAACGGUAACAGGAAGCAGCUUGCUGCUUCGCUGACGAGUGGCGGACGGGUGAGUAAUGUCUGGGAAGCUGCCUGAUGGAGGGGGAUAACUACUGGAAACGGUAGCUAAUACCGCAUAAUGUCGCAAGACCAAAGAGGGGGACCUUCGGGCCUCUUGCCAUCGGAUGUGCCCAGAUGGGAUUAGCUUGUUGGUGGGGUAACGGCUCACCAAGGCGACGAUCCCUAGCUGGUCUGAGAGGAUGACCAGCCACACUGGAACUGAGACACGGUCCAGACUCCUACGGGAGGCAGCAGUGGGGAAUAUUGCACAAUGGGCGCAAGCCUGAUGCAGCCAUGCCGCGUGUAUGAAGAAGGCCUUCGGGUUGUAAAGUACUUUCAGCGGGGAGGAAGGGAGUAAAGUUAAUACCUUUGCUCAUUGACGUUACCCGCAGAAGAAGCACCGGCUAACUCCGUGCCAGCAGCCGCGGUAAUACGGAGGGUGCAAGCGUUAAUCGGAAUUACUGGGCGUAAAGCGCACGCAGGCGGUUUGUUAAGUCAGAUGUGAAAUCCCCGGGCUCAACCUGGGAACUGCAUCUGAUACUGGCAAGCUUGAGUCUCGUAGAGGGGGGUAGAAUUCCAGGUGUAGCGGUGAAAUGCGUAGAGAUCUGGAGGAAUACCGGUGGCGAAGGCGGCCCCCUGGACGAAGACUGACGCUCAGGUGCGAAAGCGUGGGGAGCAAACAGGAUUAGAUACCCUGGUAGUCCACGCCGUAAACGAUGUCGACUUGGAGGUUGUGCCCUUGAGGCGUGGCUUCCGGAGCUAACGCGUUAAGUCGACCGCCUGGGGAGUACGGCCGCAAGGUUAAAACUCAAAUGAAUUGACGGGGGCCCGCACAAGCGGUGGAGCAUGUGGUUUAAUUCGAUGCAACGCGAAGAACCUUACCUGGUCUUGACAUCCACGGAAGUUUUCAGAGAUGAGAAUGUGCCUUCGGGAACCGUGAGACAGGUGCUGCAUGGCUGUCGUCAGCUCGUGUUGUGAAAUGUUGGGUUAAGUCCCGCAACGAGCGCAACCCUUAUCCUUUGUUGCCAGCGGUCCGGCCGGGAACUCAAAGGAGACUGCCAGUGAUAAACUGGAGGAAGGUGGGGAUGACGUCAAGUCAUCAUGGCCCUUACGACCAGGGCUACACACGUGCUACAAUGGCGCAUACAAAGAGAAGCGACCUCGCGAGAGCAAGCGGACCUCAUAAAGUGCGUCGUAGUCCGGAUUGGAGUCUGCAACUCGACUCCAUGAAGUCGGAAUCGCUAGUAAUCGUGGAUCAGAAUGCCACGGUGAAUACGUUCCCGGGCCUUGUACACACCGCCCGUCACACCAUGGGAGUGGGUUGCAAAAGAAGUAGGUAGCUUAACCUUCGGGAGGGCGCUUACCACUUUGUGAUUCAUGACUGGGGUGAAGUCGAAACAAGGUAACCGUAGGGGAACCUGCGGUUG